GACGUAGGGCGCGAGCGUUGUCCGGAUUUAUUGGGCGUAAAGAGCUCGUAGGCGGCUUGUCGCGUCGAAUGUGAAAACCCGAGGCUCAACCUUGGGCUUGCAGUGGGUACGGGCAGACUAGAGUGCGGUAGGGGUGACUGGAAUUCCUGGUGUAGCGGUGGAAUGCGCAGAUAUCAGGAGGAACACCGAUGGCGAAGGCAGGUCUCUGGGCAUUAACUGACGCUGAGGAGCGAAAGCAUGGGGGAGCGAACAGG
This 254-nucleotide ribosomal RNA is filed under the name uncultured bacterium. Its description in RNAcentral is "partial 16S ribosomal RNA". It matches the Rfam family "Bacterial small subunit ribosomal RNA", at positions 524 to 776 of the family's 1533-position model. The record is from RNAcentral.